This 82-nucleotide transfer RNA is filed under the name Vulcanisaeta moutnovskia 768-28. RNAcentral's name for it is "tRNA-Thr". Lineage: Archaea; Thermoproteati; Thermoproteota; Thermoprotei; Thermoproteales; Thermoproteaceae. The record is from RNAcentral.
GCCCCGGUAGCUCAGCCUGGUCGGCUCGUAAGCGGGAGGUCCCGUCAAGCUUAGCCCGGUUCAAAUCCCGGCCGGGGCUCCA